RNAcentral lists this ribosomal RNA (406 nucleotides) under uncultured bacterium. Its description in RNAcentral is "partial 16S ribosomal RNA". It matches the Rfam family "Bacterial small subunit ribosomal RNA", at positions 29 to 526 of the family's 1533-position model. The record is from RNAcentral.
AGUGAACGCUGGCGGCAGGCUUAACACAUGCAAGUCGAGCGAGCGGCGGACGGGUGUGUAAUGUCUGGGAAACUGCCUGAUGGAGGGGGAUAACUACUGGAAACGGUAGAUAAUCCCGCAUACCAUCAGAUGUGCCCAGAUGGGAUUAGCGAAUAGGUGGGGUAAUGGCUCACCAAGGCGACGCUCCCUAGCUGGUCUGAGAGGAUGACCAGUCACACUGUACCUGAGACACGGGCCCGACUCCUACGUGAGGAAGCAGUGGGAAAUAUUGCACAAUGGUAGCAAGCACAAUUCAGCCAUGCCGAGUGUGUGAAGAAGGCCUUCGGGUUGUAAAGCACUUUCAGCGAGGGGGCGUUGCUCGCAGAAGAAGCACCGGCUAACUCCGUGCCAGCAGCCGCGGUAAUUC